CGUUUUUUGAUUAUAAUUUAAGAUUUAUUCUGCUCAAUGAAAAUUUAAAUAGCCGCAGUAUUUUAACUGUGCAAAGGUAGCAUAAUAAUUUGUUUAUUAAUUGUAAACUGGAAUGAAAGAAUAGAUAAAAUAUUUACUUUAUUAAUAUUAUAAAUAUAAAGUUAAUUUUUUAGUAAAAAAGCUAAAAUUUUUUAUUGGGACGAGAAGACCCUAUAGAAUUUUAUAUUAUAAUGAAUAUUUUAAAUUAAUAUAUUUUUAUAUAUUUAUUAUAUUAAUUUAUUGGGAGGAUAAUUAAAUUUUUAAACUUUAAUAUAAUUAACCAAAGAUAAGUGAAGAUUUGAUUUUAUAUAUAAAAUUUUAGAAAAAUUACCUUAGGGAUAACAGUGUAAUAUUUUUAGAAAGUUCUUAUUGAUAAAAAUGUUUAUAACCUCGAUGUUGAAUUUAGAUUAAUUUAAAUAGAAGUUUGUUUAAAUUUUAGUCUGUUCGACUAUUAAAAUCUAACAU
RNAcentral lists this ribosomal RNA (504 nucleotides) under Sclerodermus sp. 3 YJ-2014. RNAcentral describes it as "partial 16S ribosomal RNA". The record is from RNAcentral. Lineage: Eukaryota; Metazoa; Arthropoda; Insecta; Hymenoptera; Bethylidae.